GAUUGAUAAAUUGAACUAAUACUCCAUUUACUACCAUAAAGAGACAGAAGCAAAUAUGUCACGAGAAACGCUUAUUCAUUAUUUGAUAAUCGCACAUCCAUAGCUUUAAUCAUCUCUUAUAAAUUGAACAAGCCAAAUAGGCCAGGACGAAGGUCAAAGCCAGCAAUAUGUGCACUCGAGAACAUGAACAAAGAAAAUACAGCUGACGGUAGUCUUCCAGAAAAAAGCAAGAGACCUCAAUAGCAAUGCAACCAAACUAAUCAAUUAGCUAUUUAGCAAUUCCAAUGUCUGCCCUCACCUUUAUACAUUUAAGCUGCUGGCAAGUUUAAUAACACCUGCAAGAAGAAGGAAGUAUUUAUAUCAUUGUCCUGAUGUAAUAUAUCUACAAUCCAUAGAAUAGAGGGACUCAUUUUUUUCUUUUUUAUUUUUUUGGAAAUUGUUAAUUACACAAACAAAAAUUGAUAUUUUCGUAAGGUCUCUCUAACGUAGUUGUGGGACUCAUUUACUAUUCAUGUUA
This 517-nucleotide long non-coding RNA is filed under the name Panax ginseng (ginseng). RNAcentral describes it as "long non-coding RNA (PGIN_LNC005425)". The record is from RNAcentral. Lineage: Eukaryota; Viridiplantae; Streptophyta; Magnoliopsida; Apiales; Araliaceae.